ACAUGGGUAGUGUAGAGGGGGGAUGGGCGAUUGGUUGCAUCCGGGAGCAGGAUCUAGCGAUUGGGUGGGUGAAUGGUGUCUGCUGCAAGGGCUGCUUUGGAUUGGCUGCUGCUUUGUCAAAUAGGCGGGUUAUUAGUGGAUGCUUCAAGCGCUACUUUGGAUUGGCUGCCACUUCGGCGAUUCGGCUUGUGUUGCUUGAAAUUGUUAGUGUUUGCCAGUUGGCUAUUGAUAAUGGCAGGUGUCCACACACCCCAAACCUGAGAUACUCAGAAGUUACCUACAUCACCUGCAGAAAACCCAAAGAAUGUAAUCCUUGGCAUAGAUUCCACUUUCCUGGGAACAUCAUCUUUCAUGUAGGAACCAAUUAAAAGGGAAAGAGCUGCCCACCAAGUUGAACUGAUCAUUAUCUUUGUGAGUGGGAUUGACUUAACACAGGACUCUUCUGUUCUUUGCAACACGUGGUUCCAUCUUUAGACCACAUGGCAUAAGAAUGACUUCCUAACAUGCUGCCCUAUGGACCACCCCCCGCUCAGUGCAGACUGCUCCCCCCGCUCCUGGCUCCUUUCUG
Long non-coding RNA from Podarcis raffonei (Aeolian wall lizard), 568 nucleotides. RefSeq lists it as uncharacterized. Lineage: Eukaryota; Metazoa; Chordata; Lepidosauria; Squamata; Lacertidae. The transcript is spliced from 4 exons. The record is from RefSeq and is a predicted model, not a curated record.